UCCAUAAGAGCUAUAGCCAGAUCAAGCCCCUGAAAAAAAUGGUUUAUGUUAAAAGAUACAACGCUGUGAAUCACUUGAGAAAACAACAGCCUUCAAAAACAAAUGGCAAUAUUGAAAGCUUGCUGGUACAGUCAGUACUGAACUGGCCUCGGUGAGAGACAAUGCCAGCAUGCUCUAGCACUGCCACAAAAGGUGCUGAGCCCGCAACCUCCUCAGCUAUGAUGAAAUGAGCUAGCCAAUGUUACAGCGAAAGGCCACCAUCCUUACGAUGAGAACCAUCUAUAGGAGGUUACCGAAGCCAUAUAUUGACCACACAUGAAUCACAUAGAGGUUAUUCCGGCUGCAGAUUCAUGGAAGUAGGAUCCAAACUACUUAGAAUUAUGGUAGAAAUACUUGGAAAUUUUUUUAAAUUUUUCAUUGGCUCAGUGUGGUUGGAAUUUGAACCCAGAUUUUCUACAAGACCAGCUGCUUUUCCUCAUUCUAAUGUACAGUGGUACUAAAGUUCACUUUUUCAAAUUAAAAAAAAAAAUACUUUCUCCUUAUUUGCUACUAUUGCCUGUAAUCUGACAAAUAUUUGAUAAAACGUCAAGUGAAAGUUAAGAAAUGUUCUUCGAUUACAGCACAGCAAAUUUGAAUGGAA
Molecule: long non-coding RNA, 640 nt
Organism: Venturia canescens
Lineage: Eukaryota; Metazoa; Arthropoda; Insecta; Hymenoptera; Ichneumonidae
Exons: 2
Source: RefSeq, a predicted model, not a curated record